Panonychus citri (citrus red mite) is the source of this 1592-nucleotide long non-coding RNA. RefSeq lists it as uncharacterized. The transcript is spliced from 3 exons. The record is from RefSeq and is a predicted model, not a curated record. NCBI's taxonomy places the organism in Eukaryota, Metazoa, Arthropoda, Arachnida, Trombidiformes, Tetranychidae.
AUUGGAUUAACUAAUUGCUGAGGCUAAUAAUAAGCAGAUAAUAAAAACAAGGAUAAUUGAAUUAGUUUAACCACCAUACCAAUUAAAAACAACUCACACCAAUUCAAUGGUAACAAUACAAAUCCAACUUAAUCCGUUAAAGAAAGAUACAAAUGGAAAGUAAAAGUUUACAAGGAAAAGGUGGAAACAUUAUCAAUAACAAUGCCCCAUGAAGAUGAAAGCAGAUUGAAGUGGGAAGUUGACAAAGAAUUAGGAAAUUGUGAUGAAUCCGAAUGGAGAACAUAAGAAAAUGAUUAUUGUGAAUUGAGAUAAUAUUCAUUUCACAAUGAAUUGGGUAUCAAUAAUAUGGAAGAAUAAGAAGAUGAUAAAGAAUAAGAGAAAAUCAACUUGACUGAAUCAUUCUUAAGAUAAUCAUCUGAGCAUAUUUGGAAUUCUCGUCUUUUUAUAUAUAUAAUAUAAGAAUAUAAUUGUGGGUAACCAGAUAACUGAUGUUUAAUGGAUAGAGUGAAAAAUAAUGGGAAAAAAUGGAAACCAUGGAUUUCAUGUUCAUCCUGUCCAUUGAAUACUGAACAAGAGAUUAAUUUGAAUUUCAAAUAGAUUGUAAAAGGAAACCAAAAGGAGGAGAUAAAGAUGUGUGUAUGUUUAAACCAUGGCAACGAGAAUGAUGAUCACCAUGAUAAAGAUGAAGAUAAAGAGAUGAUAAAAAGGAGAAAGGAACAAGAGUUAACACUAAACUGAAUCUUUUUGCUUACAUUAGAUGAAGAGGAAAAAAGCAUAAGUAAAAAUUAUGAUUUUUUCUUCACAUGAAGUUUAUUUGUUAUCAAUAUAAUACCAACAACAAUCAACCCGCUAAUUCAAUUCAAUUGUGAUUGUCUGAUCAAUUUCAAACUCUCCAUCAAACUUUUGAUUGUUUCUUUAUCGUAUCCAAUACCAACGAUUGUGAUGGUUAUAAGAUGAUCAGGAAAAAGCAAAAUAAUACUCAGAGAAAUCAACUUACAAUCAACAAUUGGAAUUGUUGUCGAAAUGAUGAAAGGAAAAAGAUGAAAAUAAUUAUCUUGUUACAACAAUGAAUUACUUUGUUAAAUUGUUGAAAUUUUUCAUGACAAUGAUAAAGUAACAUGGUUAUCGUUGAAAAAUUACAUUCCUGUUGAAAAUCAGUAAUGAUCAUGAUCAACAAAUCUUAUUAUCGUUACAUUAAUGAUUGUAAUUGCUUUUUUUCAUAAACUGUAUUAAUAUAUUACCAAGAGGAUAUGAAAAAAAAGUAAAUUGCAAUCAUGAACCAUGAAGAUGAUGAUUUGUAAAAAAAUAACAGAUUAAGUUGCAACUGAAUUUAUCUGAACAUGAUUAAGAUAAAUAUUUACCCUGUUUCAACUGAAUCAAGUAAUCAAAGUGGUCAAUUGAUUGAUAAUAUUCAAUGUUUAUAUUUGUAUUAAUUUUGUUUUAUUUGCCAAUAUUACUAAUCACUAGUAAGUUGAUUAAUUAUCAAUCAAGUGAAAAACCCACUUAAACUAAAUGUAAUUAAAUAAUUUAAAACGUUCAUGUUGAUCUAUGUCAAUCAUUGGUAAAUAAAUACCACUGAAAUGAUUAACUAU